Molecule: ribosomal RNA, 252 nt
Filed under: uncultured bacterium
Lineage: Bacteria
Description: partial 16S ribosomal RNA
Rfam family: Bacterial small subunit ribosomal RNA
Source: RNAcentral
UACGGAGGAUGCGAGCGUUAUCCGGAUUUAUUGGGUUUAAAGGGUGCGUAGGCGGACGCUUAAGUCAGCGGUAAAAUUGCGGGGCUCAACCUCGUCGAGCCGUUGAAACUGGGUGCCUUGAGUGGGCGAGAAGUACGCGGAAUGCGUGGUGUAGCGGUGAAAUGCAUAGAUAUCACGCAGAACUCCGAUUGCGAAGGCAGCGUACCGGCGCCCAACUGACGCUGAGGCACGAAGGCGUGGGUAUCGAACAGG